Molecule: ribosomal RNA, 434 nt
Filed under: uncultured bacterium
Lineage: Bacteria
Description: partial 16S ribosomal RNA
Rfam family: Bacterial small subunit ribosomal RNA
Source: RNAcentral
AGCGAACGCUGGCGGCAGGCCUAACACAUGCAAGUCGAACGAACCUUUCGGGGUUAGUGGCGGACGGGUGAGUAACACGUGGGAACGUGCCUUUAGGUUCGGAAUAACUCAGGGAAACUUGUGCUAAUACCGAAUGUGCCCUUCGGGGGAAAGAUUUAUCGCCUUUAGAGCGGCCCGCGUCUGAUUAGCUAGUUGGUUGAGGUAAUGGCUCACCAAGGCGACGAUCAGUAGCUGGUCUGAGAGGAUGAUCAGCCACAUUGGGACUGAGACACGGCCCAAAAUCCUACGGGAGGGAGCAGUGGGGAAUCUUGCGCAAUGGGCGAAAGCCUGACGCAGCCAUGCCGCGUGAAUGAUGAAGGUCUUAGGAUUGUAAAAUUCUUUCACCGGGGACGAUAAUGACGGUACCCGGAGAAGAAGCCCCGGCUAACUUCGUG